UAACCUACCCUUGGGACUGGGAUAACCCCGGGAAACUGGGGAUAAUACCGGAUAGAUCAGGGAUGCUGGAAUGCGCCUUGAUCCAAAGCUCCGGCGCCCAAGGAUGGGUCUGCGGCCUAUCAGGUAGUAGUGGGUGUAACGUACCUACUAGCCAACGACGGGUACGGGUUGUGAGAGCAAGAGCCCGGAGAUGGAUUCUGAGACACGAAUCCAGGCCCUACGGGGUGCAGCAGGCGCGAAACCUUUACAAUGUGCGAAAGCAUGAUAAGGGAACUCCGAGUGCCAGUAUCUAAUACUGGCUGUCCUUGUGCCUAAAACGCACAAGAUAGCAAGGGCCGGGUAAGACCGGUGCCAGCCGCCGCGGUAACACCGGCGGCCCGAGUGGUAGCCGCUAUUAUUGGGUCUAAAGGGUCCGUAGCCGGUUCGAUAAGUCCUCUGGGAAAUCUGGUUGCUUAACAAUCAGACUGCCAAGGGAUACUGUCGAACUUGAGACCGGGAGAGGUAAGAGGUACUUCAGGGGUAGGAGUGAAAUCUUGUAAUCCCUGGGGGACCAUCUGUGGCGAAGGCGUCUUACCAGAACGGGUCUGACGGUGAGGGACGAAAGCUGGGGGCGCAAACCGGAUUAGAUACCCGGGUAGUCCCAGCCGUAAACGAUGCUCGCUAUGUGUCAGGUACGGUGUGACCGUAUCUGGUGCCGUAGGGAAGCCGUGAAGCGAGCCACCUGGGAAGUACGGUCGCAAGACUGAAACUUAA
RNAcentral lists this ribosomal RNA (753 nucleotides) under uncultured methane-oxidizing archaeon. Its description in RNAcentral is "bacterial SSU rRNA". It matches the Rfam family "Archaeal small subunit ribosomal RNA", at positions 105 to 859 of the family's 1478-position model. The record is from RNAcentral.